AGCGAACGUUAGCGGCGGGCCUAACACAUGCAAGUCGAACGCGAAAGGUCUUCGGACUGAGUAGAGUGGCGCACGGGUGAGUAACACGUAGGUAAUCUACCCUUUGGCGGGGGAUAACGUUCCGAAAGGAGCGCUAAUACCGCAUAAGACCACGGAGUCUCCGGACGCUGUGGGGAAAAGGUGGCCUCUUCUUGAAAGCUAUCACCGAAGGAUGAGCCUGCGUCCCAUCAGCUAGUUGGUAAGGUAAUGGCUUACCAAGGCGAAGACGGGUAGCUGGUUUGAGAGAAUGAUCAGCCACACUGGCACUGGAACACGGGCCAGACUCCUACGGGAGGCAGCAGUGAGGAAUAUUGGGCAAUGGGCGAAAGCCUGACCCAGCCACGCCGCGUGCGGGACGAAGGCCU
This 404-nucleotide ribosomal RNA is filed under the name uncultured bacterium. Its description in RNAcentral is "bacterial SSU rRNA". It matches the Rfam family "Bacterial small subunit ribosomal RNA", at positions 29 to 417 of the family's 1533-position model. The record is from RNAcentral.